UGUUGUCUCAAACACACACACACACACAGUCAUGUUUUCAUGACUUUUGAGGACAUUACAUUGACCUUAUAUUCAUUUCCUGGAGACUUACCCUAACUUUAACCUAAACCUA
Long non-coding RNA from Sebastes umbrosus (honeycomb rockfish), 112 nucleotides. RefSeq lists it as uncharacterized. The transcript has 3 exons. NCBI's taxonomy places the organism in Eukaryota, Metazoa, Chordata, Actinopteri, Perciformes, Sebastidae. The record is from RefSeq and is a predicted model, not a curated record.